AUUGAACGCUGGCGGCAGGCCUAACACAUGCAAGUCGGACGGUAGCACAGAGGAGCUUGCUCCUCGGGUGACGAGUGGCGGACGGGUGAGUAAUGUCUGGGAAACUGCCCGAUGGAGGGGGAUAACUACUGGAAACGGUAGCUAAUACCGCAUAACGUCGCAAGACCAAAGUGGGGGACCUUCGGGCCUCACACCAUCGGAUGUGCCCAGAUGGGAUUAGCUGGUAGGCGGGGUAACGGCCCACCUAGGCGACGAUCCCUAGCUGGUCUGAGAGGAUGACCAGCAACACUGGAACUGAGACACGGUCCAGACUCCUACGGGAGGCAGCAGUGGGGAAUAUUGCACAAUGGGCGCAAGCCUGAUGCAGCCAUGCCGCGUGUAUGAAGAAGGCCUUCGGGUUGUAAAGUACUUUCAGCGGGGAGGAAGGUGCUGAGGUUAAUAGGCUCAGCAAUUGACGUUACCCGCAGAAGAAGCACCGGCUAACUCCGUGCCAGCCGCCGCAGUAA
Molecule: ribosomal RNA, 506 nt
Filed under: uncultured bacterium
Lineage: Bacteria
Description: partial 16S ribosomal RNA
Rfam family: Bacterial small subunit ribosomal RNA
Source: RNAcentral